This is a long non-coding RNA of Cavia porcellus (domestic guinea pig), 4399 nucleotides long. RefSeq lists it as uncharacterized. The record is from RefSeq and is a predicted model, not a curated record. Lineage: Eukaryota; Metazoa; Chordata; Mammalia; Rodentia; Caviidae. The transcript is spliced from 5 exons.
AAAGGACAAGAUUGCAACUGCCUUUUAAAACCUCCCUUAAGAUGUAAAUAGCCUAUUUAAAUUGAAGGAGCCCUAAGUAAGGUGUUAUUAUUUACUUACCUAAGCAGAGUUCACAAUAUUUCUGUAGGAAAGAAAAUAAUAGAUGUGAGAUGAUUGUUCUGUUCCUAGGACAGAUGAGAAUUUUGGAGACCUUUCCUGAUAAUAAUUUUUAAAAGGGAUUCAGGGAAAAGAGAGUAAAAGAAACAAGUCUAAGCACAUCUCAGGACUAAGGACAGUUUUCUCAUUCCAUCCUUAUCUAGGAGAAGAUAAGAAGUCUGGCAAUAAGAAGGGUGGAACAUUAUUAAGUAAUGUUGUCUAACUCAAAAAGAAACCCUUUUCAGAAUAGAAUAACAGCCACAAAUACUGUCGAAGGAAGAAAAAAUUAUUGAGAACAGUUAAGGAUGAAAAAGGAGAAAGUAUCAGAGAUCUCAGUCCAUGGCUGGCUGGCUCCAACACAGAAACAUCAUCAUAAAAGGCAAUAACAAGAGAAAUCUGCUCACCUUGUGGUAGCCAAGAAGCAGAAAGACAACUGGAAAAAGAGAAAAAGGAAAGAAACCAAGCACAGUAAUAUAUCUUUCCAGGUUAUGCACCCAGGGACCUACUUCCUCCAACCAGGAUCCAUUCCUAACACUGCAUUCAGCUAUGAACUAAUCUGUGAUAAGGUUAGUGCCCCCAGGAUGUAAUCACCUUCCAGAACUUCUUCCUCUGAACAUGUGAACCUUUUAGAAGACAUUCUUGAUGCAAAUUAUAACAGCAGGUUUCAUACUACAAAAAAGGUAAGAGAAAAUUAUCACUAUGGAAUACGUUCCUGGCUUGUCAAGACUAUUUCAUGUCAUUAUCAUUGUCAUGUGCAUCUGCAUCCCAAGAAUACGACAGUUUGGAAUUUGGAUGACUAGAGCUGAGAGUUUUAAAUAGUAAUCUGUUUUCCAAAGGCAUAGAAAUUAUUGUUAUAAAAUAACUAUUUCUAUCUUUAUGUGCUCUUUACAGAGUCAGAUACAAAGAUUUCCAUUUUUAUUGCAGGGUCAUUUGAAAAUGUUAUAAAUACAAUUUGUUUUUGUAUUUUAAAGAGAAUAAAACCAAAUAAAAUAAAACAACAUAAAUCCAAUCAAACAAAACAGUGAAAGUGAUACAGAACUUCAAAACAAGGUAAUAGGAAAUCAACAAUGGCUACCAUAAUGCCUCUUGUUAUCUUCAAAAUAACUGCCCAUACCAUCAGACACAAUAAAAUCAAACAAAACAGAACAGAAUAAAACCAAUCAAAACAAAAUAAAUAAAGUGAUACAGGACUUCAAAACAAGAUAAUAGGAAAUCAACAAUGGCUACCUUGAUAGAUCUUGUCUUCAAAAUAGCUGCCCAUGCCAUCAGAUAUAAUAAAAUCAAAUAAAAUAAAACCAAACCAAACAAUGAAAAUGACACAAGACUUUAAAACAAAAUAAUGGGAAAUAAAUAAUGGCUACCACCUUUAGAAAGAAAUCUCCCAUAGUUGCUAUAUUGCAUAUUGUUAUCCUCUAAACAGAUUCCCAGAGCACUGGUUUUAGACCUGAAAAGUCAAUUAAACAAUACAGGCAUUGUUUUUUUUUUUUUUUUUUUUUUUUUACUCUGGUGGCUAUCAUCUCAGCCUUUGUUUCUCUGAAUCAGCCAGUUGCUUAUGGGGUGGGUGGAGAGCACCAGCUGGCUCACAGGAAGGUGGUAGGCCAGCCCACAACUGCCGCUGGCUCACAGGAAAGGGCUGGCUUUUUCUUGAUUCUCUUCCCAAGACACAUGGCUGCUUCUGGUUCACAUGAAAGAAUUGGCUCUCCCCACGACUGCUGCUGGCUCACAGGAAGGGGUUGGCUCACUGCAUGACCACCACUGGCUUACAGGAAGGGAUUGGCUUUUUAUUGGUUGUCUUCACAGGAUGCAUGGCCACUGCUGGCUCAUGGGAAGGAGUUGGCCUGACCCACAACUGCCACUGGAUCACAGGAAAGGGUUGGCUUCUUCUUGGGUCUCUUCCCAAGACUUUUUGCCCUGGGCAUGUGGCCUCGAUUUGAACAGUAAGCCAUACCACACAGAUUCUGAGAACAAACUUAUUUUUAAGAAAGGACCAGGGUCAAUGGAGAACCUCAGCAACAUUUAGCUUCCAGAAGCAGUAUCCAGUGUUCAGUUCAAUGAAGGCGGUGUGAUAAGUUGUGAAAGUUUUGAACAAUUUUCUAACCACUGGAAAAAAGAGUCCUCAUUCCACGCACAUCCCAUGCUUUGCUUUCCUGGGACUGGUCUUCUGUCAAAGGAGUUCUGCAGAGUCCAACUGCUGUCUCCUCGCUGCUCCUUCGGAUGCUUACAGUACAUUACUGGUCUCGCUGAUUACGUCACCCGUCAAGCUUCAGAGAAGACAGCUCACAGUGCAGGAAGAGAACGUGUGCACCUCACCACGCCGGCUCCUACAGGCCCUUUUGCUUGCUUGCUCUUCCCUGGGCGCCCACUACUACUGCCUGGCGUCCACUGCCCACCGGCCCCGCGCGCACGACCCUGUCUUGGCCUCCGCCCCGCGCAGAGCCUCCCGCAGCCAACGCCUCCUAGUCCCUGCGUGGCACCGUGCCAAGAAGCUCUUUAUUCUGAAAUUUCACAAGGUGUGACCACGUAAGAGCUCUUUUUACUUUGUGCUGUCAUUCUGCUGGCCUUUUCAUUUUCUGUCUUCCUUUUGCUCUAGGAAAACGUUUCUUUGUUCAUUUAUAUUUAUUUUUUCUCUGAUACUGUCAUCUUUUUCUUUAUUUCAUUUUGUUCUCUUAAUGGUUUUCAUUCCUCUCCUCUAUGACCCUUAUUGUGUUUGUAGUCCAAAGUGUUUUCCCUUGGGCACCUUGAAAUUGAAACUUUUGUUUCCAAGAUUACUUUGUGUUUUUCAUCCUUUUCAUGAGCUUAAUCAAUGCUCAUUUUACAUGUUCCUGCUUUUUUUCACUGAGUCGUUUUGAACUUAGUAGUCCAGGCAGAUCCUUAUUUUAACAUGUUUAAUUCAGGUUGCUGUGCUGUGUCAUAGUUUCUUUGUUUUGUGGGUGGUUUUUUCAGCUAGAAGAGCAUUUUGCCUGCUGACAUUUUGAUUCCCACUUUCUAUCUUCUAAUAAUAUAUGGGACAGACUGGUGCUGUAUAACAUUUUGAUCAACAACAAACCACAAACAUGAUAGUGAUCCUAUCAGAUUAUAAUGGAAACAAUUCCUGAGGCCUGGUGACAUCAUAGUUGUUAUCAUGUUAUAAUAUAACACAUUACUCACAUGUUUGUAGUAACGGUGAUUGUAUUAGUCACUGUCCCACCACUGGGACAAAAUAUCUAACAUCCAAACUUAGAGGAGAAAAUGUUUGUUUGCCUCAGAGUUUCAGUGUGUUCAUUUCAUAGUUGGCUGGCUCCAAGACAGAAACAGCAUGGUUUGGAUGUGGUGGAAGACAGUUUCUCAUCCUGUGACAGCCAGGAAGCAGAGGGAGCAGAGCCAAACAUAAGAAUAUACUCUUUUAGGUCACCAUACCAUGAUCCACGUCCUCUGACUAGGCCACACUGCCCACAGUAAACGAGGAUGACUCUAGCCAGCCCUUGGUUCCAAUCACCUACCAAAAGCCCCAUCUUUGAAAAUGAGACUUUUAGGCAGCAUUUUAGAUCUAAACCAUAACAGUGGUGUAAACAAAGCUACUGUGCUGCCAGUCAUAUAACUUUAUAGCACACACAAUUAUGUAGAGUAUGUAAAACUUGAUAGUAGCAAUAGAUGAUUAUAUCACUAGCUUAUGUAUUUACUAUAUUAUAAUUUUGUCAUAUUAGUUAGUUUGUACUCAAAAGAAUAUAUACAGCCUCAGAAAUUGAAUCCAGGCCCAUUACCCUGAGCUACACCCUCAGAGCAGUCUUAAAUUUGUGAUCAUCCUGCCUCAGCCUCCCAAAGUAAUAGGAUUAUGGAGUUGUGCCACUAUAGCCAGUUAAUGGGAUACUUCCUAUAUAUAAAGCUUUACAGAUUAUAUCUAAUUUCAAUUCUAGAUUUUACUAGAAAGCAAUUUAUUUGUGUGUAUCAUGAAUCACAAACAUGUUCCUAUCCUAAAGAAGUACUUAUCAAUGGGGGGAAAUAUUUUUGUUCAAGAUUAUUUACUGUCACAUUGUUCAUAAUAGGAAAACUUUAGAAAUAGCAGAAAGUCUUCUGUUGAGUAAGUUGUAUAGUCAUUUUAGGCACAUAAUUGUGAAAACUUUUGAAAAAACACGUUAGAUAUGAGAAAGUAGCCAUAGUAACAAUGACUAAAAGAAUGAUGGGAAGCUAUACAUCGAAGAAUCCUAUAUGUAAUAUAUAAAUCCAAAAAAGCAGGUUCAAAGUAUUUCAACAUACUGUCACUGAUUUUAUCUAAUUAUUGAUUUAU